GUUCUUAUAGUUGAAUAACAACGGCGGUUUUUCAGGUCGUAAGUUUUGGUUUAAGACCAAAUAAGAAUA
This 69-nucleotide transfer RNA is filed under the name Sceloporus grammicus (Graphic spiny lizard). RNAcentral's name for it is "tRNA-Glu". It matches the Rfam family "tRNA". From Rfam's summary of the family: Transfer RNA (tRNA) molecules are approximately 80 nucleotides in length. Their secondary structure includes four short double-helical elements and three loops (D, anti-codon, and T loops). The record is from RNAcentral. Lineage: Eukaryota; Metazoa; Chordata; Lepidosauria; Squamata; Phrynosomatidae.